RNAcentral lists this ribosomal RNA (646 nucleotides) under uncultured Bacteroidales bacterium. Its description in RNAcentral is "bacterial SSU rRNA". It matches the Rfam family "Bacterial small subunit ribosomal RNA", at positions 28 to 661 of the family's 1533-position model. The record is from RNAcentral. Lineage: Bacteria; Pseudomonadati; Bacteroidota; Bacteroidia; Bacteroidales.
GAUGAACGCUAGCUACAGGCUUAACACAUGCAAGUCGAGGGGCAGCAUGGUCUUAGCUUGCUAAGGCUGAUGGCGACCGGCGCACGGGUGAGUAACACGUAUCCAACCUGCCGUCUACUCUUGGCCAGCCUUCUGAAAGGAAGAUUAAUCCAGGAUGGGAUCAUGAGUUCACAUGUCCGCAUGAUUAAAGGUAUUUUCCGGUAGACGAUGGGGAUGCGUUCCAUUAGAUAGUAGGCGGGGUAACGGCCCACCUAGUCAACGAUGGAUAGGGGUUCUGAGAGGAAGGUCCCCCACAUUGGAACUGAGACACGGUCCAAACUCCUACGGGAGGCAGCAGUGAGGAAUAUUGGUCAAUGGGCGAUGGCCUGAACCAGCCAAGUAGCGUGAAGGAUGACUGCCCUAUGGGUUGUAAACUUCUUUUAUAAAGGAAUAAAGUCGGGUAUGCAUACCCGUUUGCAUGUACUUUAUGAAUAAGGAUCGGCUAACUCCGUGCCAGCAGCCGCGGUAAUACGGAGGAUCCGAGCGUUAUCCGGAUUUAUUGGGUUUAAAGGGAGCGUAGAUGGAUGUUUAAGUCAGUUGUGAAAGUUUGCGGCUCAACCGUAAAAUUGCAGUUGAUACUGGAUGUCUUGAGUGCAGUUGAGGCAGG